AUUGAACGCUGGCGGCAGGCCUAACACAUGCAAGUCGAACGGUAGCACAGAGAGCUUGCUCUCGGGUGACGAGUGGCGGACGGGUGAGUAAUGUCUGGGAAACUGCCCGAUGGAGGGGGAUAACUACUGGAAACGGUAGCUAAUACCGCAUAAUGUCGCACGACCAAAGAGGGGGACCUUCGGGCCUCUUGCCAUCGGAUGUGCCCAGAUGGGAUUAGCUUGUUGGUGAGGUAAUGGCUCACCAAGGCGACGAUCCCUAGCUGGUCUGAGAGGAUGACCAGCCACACUGGAACUGAGACACGGUCCAGACUCCUACGGGAGGCAGCAGUGGGGAAUAUUGCACAAUGGGCGCAAGCCUGAUGCAGCCAUGCCGCGUGUGUGAAGAAGGCCUUCGGGUUGUAAAGCACUUUCAGCGGGGAGGAAGGCAAUGCGGUUAAUAACCGUGUUGAUUGACGUUACCCGCAGAAGAAGCACCGGCUAACUCCGUG
RNAcentral lists this ribosomal RNA (488 nucleotides) under uncultured bacterium. RNAcentral's name for it is "partial 16S ribosomal RNA". It matches the Rfam family "Bacterial small subunit ribosomal RNA", at positions 30 to 507 of the family's 1533-position model. The record is from RNAcentral.